AACUGAAUUACGAGAUUUGUUAUGCUAUGAAAGACCUUUGAAAAUGUAACUACUACCUCCUUCAAUGACUUCAAGCUCAUAUUCCUCAAUUUUCCAAUUUUUGUACCACCCACGAACAGCUUUUAAGCCUUCCCUAUGUAUUUUCCCUGCCCCUCCGAGUCUUGCGCUUUCUUUGGAGGUCCACCAGCAUGUAGCCAAAUUUUGUCCGAAUACAUCGUCAGGUAUACCAUACCAAUACUUUAAUAAGCCACCAGAAACGUUUGCUUCCAAAUGCGAUCCUUUAUCAAUUUCUGCUAAUUUAUGGCGUGCCUCUGGAGAAACUUGAACUUCGGGUUGCAAAACGGAACGAAAUGCUACAAUAUACGCGGAAAAGGCAGGAAUAUGUUUGUGAUAUUUAUGUGAAUAUUCUCGUAUCAAAUUUACAAUUUCCGCAAUAUCAAAGGCUUGAGCAUAAGGAAGAUGGGCAUAACGGACAGAAUCUUUGGGAACAAAAGUCUGAAGAGCUAGUGAUAAAAAGUAAUGGCCGACACUUAAGGUUCCCAAGUCCAGCCAAUGCUCUUUUUCAAUAUACGGGGAAGACUGAAUAAAUUUCGUAUCAGUUGUUUUGCUGAUAUCUGAGGGACGCAAGAUUGGUUGGAAUAAGCCAUGAUCUUCUUCUAUUUUUGCUGUUUUAUGUUGUACAAUCAUUAUCCCAAAUCAAAUGAAUAAAAAAUAGUCCUUUCAACAUAACCGGAUUCAUGUACAAGCAUUAUUUAUAACAAGGGUUUACUUACUACUGCUAAAGGGUUUGCAAUUCCCUUUCUGUUUUGCGACAGCAUGAACUAAAAUGAUUGGCUACGCACUAUGGGUUAGGGUUGAUUGCCCAUGUAUCAUUAUAGCGAAGCGAAAAAUUCAUCUAAAUUGCGUGAACAUUGCAAAUAUCAUCGACUUAAGACAAAUUUACAACACUGGUUGAUUCUCCCGCUUUUCGUCAGAAGUUAAUAUUAAAAUGGCCUAAUUUCCUAAUUUGAAUAAAGUCAUUGAACCAAUUGGGUAAACAAUCAUCAAUCACUUCUUCCUUUUUCUCUGAUCUUGAAUUUAUAUCUAAUUGUCUGCGGUCUAUUUGUUCCCAUGCUUUUCACGCUAACAGCAUUUGAAAUGGUUACGGCAUAUUCAAUUGCAAAAACGAUUUAUAGUUUUGUUACUCAACUUUAGAUAAUAAAGUUCUGAAACUAAUAAAUAAACAAUACCAUCCCGAUACAAAACAAUUGUAUGCGGAUGUUUGACAUCUUUAAAAAUAAUUCUUAUUUUUUCUUUGAAGAUGGUCUUAUUAGUCCUUGUACGAAUCAAAGGAAUCUGAAGAUAUUUGGAAGAUCUUCUAC
Molecule: non-coding RNA, 1361 nt
Organism: Schizosaccharomyces pombe (fission yeast)
Lineage: Eukaryota; Fungi; Ascomycota; Schizosaccharomycetes; Schizosaccharomycetales; Schizosaccharomycetaceae
Source: the annotation of a GenBank genome assembly